AGGCCAGUCUUUAGGGGUGUCAGCCUGAAGAGUCAUGACCAACCAGUUCUGAAGAAGUCAAGGGCUCUGCCUGUGGCACUGAUCCAAGGGUGACUCAGAGGGAAGAUUGCCAUCCACCCAGUCACAAACAAUCCUUUUCGAAGCUCUGGUGGAUUUGCUUUGAAGGACUCUUGUCUUAGUAUUGACCAAGGCCUUGCUCAGCUUAUGAGAUUUGACAAGAACACAGGCCAGAGUGGGAUGGCUUCAUGGCUUGUCAGUGACCAGGUUGCCUGAAGCUGAUAGUUUUUGAGAUCAGAGAUCCCUGAGCUUACUCGAAAGCUCUCUGUUGGUGAAAUACAGAAAAGGUACAUCAGUGGGCAUGAGUAUAUCUGUAAGCAUCUAUCUGUCAUCUGUCUAUCUGCCUGUCUAUCUAUCUCUCUAGUUAUCUGUAUAUAUGUAUGUGUUGUACUUACAUGUGCAUAAAUACAUAUAUAAAUAAUAUAUAUUCAUAGAUUAUAUAUGUACACAUGCAAAUAUAAAUAUAUACAUAUACACAAGUAAAAUGUGUAUGUUUACACAAAUUAGUGUGCAUGGAUAAUAUUUAUAAUGACAUCAAUUAGAGAUCUAGAACUGAAAGGAAUCUCUGAGAAACCUUAAUAUCAGUAGAGAGAAUAUAAACAUUGAUGAGGAACUGGGCAAGCGAUUGUAUACAUCCAUAUAAUGUUUAUAUACAAAUACUUGCACUUAUAUAGAUAAAUGCAUCUAGAAAUAUGUUUGCUUGCAUGCAUUUAUGUGUCUAUG
Molecule: long non-coding RNA, 780 nt
Filed under: Monodelphis domestica (gray short-tailed opossum)
Lineage: Eukaryota; Metazoa; Chordata; Mammalia; Didelphimorphia; Didelphidae
Description: lncRNA (ENSMODG00000032226.2)
Source: RNAcentral